CCCUUAGAUGAUUUGGGCUGCACGCGCGCUACACUGACCCUAACAAUGAGCAACUGUCUGGCCUGAGAUGGCUGGGUAGCCUUUUCAACCCAUGUCAUGAUUGGGCUAGAUUUUUGUAAGUCUUGAUCUCUAACGAGGAAUCCCUAGUAUGCGUGAAUCAUCAAUCCAUGCAGAUUAUGUCCCUGCCCUUUGUACACACCGCCCGUCGCUCCUUCCGAUUGAGUGAUCCGGUGAGUAAUUCGGACUGGAGCAGUGUUCAGUUCCUGAACGUUGCAUCGGAAAGUUUAGCAAACCUUAUCACUUAGAGGAAGGAGAAGUCGUAACA
This 325-nucleotide ribosomal RNA is filed under the name uncultured eukaryote. Its description in RNAcentral is "partial 18S ribosomal RNA". It matches the Rfam family "Eukaryotic small subunit ribosomal RNA", at positions 1470 to 1796 of the family's 1831-position model. The record is from RNAcentral.